AUUGAACGCUGGCGGCAUGCCUAACACAUGCAAGUCGAACGGCAGCACGGGGGCUACCCUUGUAGCGAGUGGCGAACGGGUGAGUAAUGCCUCGGAAUGUGCCCGGUCGUGGGGGAUAACGUACCGAAACCGGCGCUAAUACCGCAUACGACCUGAGGGUGAAAGCGGGGGACCUUCGGACCUCGCGCGAUCGGAGCGGCCUAGGUCGGAUUAGAUAGUUGGUGGGGUAAAUGCCUAACAAGGCGACGAUCGGUAACUGGUCUGAGAGGACGACCAGUCACCCUGUGACAGAGACACGGCCCAGACUCCUACGGGAGGACGCAGUGGGGAAUUUUGGACAAGGGGGGAGAGGCGGAUCCAGCCAUGCCGCGGGUAGGAUGAAGGACUUCGGCUGGGAAAGUGCUGUAGGAUGGAAGGAAGUGGAGCUGGUUAAUACCUGGUGAUAAUGACGGUACCGGGAGAAUAAGCACCGGCUAACUACGUG
RNAcentral lists this ribosomal RNA (484 nucleotides) under uncultured bacterium. Its description in RNAcentral is "partial 16S ribosomal RNA". It matches the Rfam family "Bacterial small subunit ribosomal RNA", at positions 29 to 507 of the family's 1533-position model. The record is from RNAcentral.